Molecule: long non-coding RNA, 370 nt
Organism: Mastomys coucha (southern multimammate mouse)
Lineage: Eukaryota; Metazoa; Chordata; Mammalia; Rodentia; Muridae
Exons: 2
Source: RefSeq, a predicted model, not a curated record
ACUAACAUCAGUAGAGUUGCUCCAGUUGUGGUGAGAUAGCUACUAGCCAAGAGUUGCCUCAGUUCAUUUAUAGACAAAAUACUGUCCAGAAAAGGGACAUACUAUGCAGAAUAGUCGAUUUAUAAUCUCUGACAAGACAAGGUAAUCAGUCCUUCAAAAUUCUGUGCUACAAAGGUCUGUCAGAUGAUUCUGGGCCAGAAAGCUGAAGACUGAUGCUCCAACAUUUUGAGGAACGGAGGACUGUCCAGGUGUUCAGCGGUCUCUAAAAAUUGGCUUAGUUUUGGAACUCCUUCUAUUUUCAGGGUUUGAUUGGCUGGCAAAUAUGUGCAUAAUCAGUGGCUGUCAAAUAAAUUAUACCUAAAGAAAUCCA